Molecule: ribosomal RNA, 1414 nt
Filed under: Anagnostidinema sp. CCM-UFV064
Lineage: Bacteria; Bacillati; Cyanobacteriota; Cyanophyceae; Coleofasciculales; Wilmottiaceae
Description: bacterial SSU rRNA
Rfam family: Bacterial small subunit ribosomal RNA
Source: RNAcentral
GAUGAACGCUGGCGGUAUGCUUAACACAUGCAAGUCGAACGGAGUAGCAAUACUUAGUGGCGGACGGGUGAGUAACGCGUAAGAAUCUAGCUUCAGGUUCGGGACAACAGUUGGAAACGACUGCUAAUACCGGAUGUGCCUAAGGGUGAAAGGCUUGCUGCCUGAAGAAGAGCUUGCGUCCGAUUAGCUAGUUGGUGAGGUAAAGGCUUACCAAGGCAUCGAUCGGUAGCUGGUCUGAGAGGAUGACCAGCCACACUGGGACUGAGACAAGGCCCAGACUCCUACGGGAGGCAGCAGUGGGGAAUUUUCCGCAAUGGGCGAAAGCCUGACGGAGCAAUACCGCGUGAGGGAAGAAGGCUCUUGGGUUGUAAACCUCUUUUCUCAGGGAAUAAAAAAAUGAAGGUACCUGAGGAAUAAGCAUCGGCUAACUCCGUGCCAGCAGCCGCGGUAAUACGGAGGAUGCAAGCGUUAUCCGGAAUGAUUGGGCGUAAAGCGUCCGCAGGUGGUACAACAAGUCUAGUGUCAAAGACCGGGGCUCAACUCCGGGAAGGCGGUGGAAACUGUUGAACUAGAGGGUCGUAGGGGUAGAGGGAAUUCCCAGUGUAGCGGUGAAAUGCGUAGAGAUUGGGAAGAACAUCGGUGGCGAAGGCGCUCUACUGGACGGCAACUGACACUCAGGGACGAAAGCUAGGGGAGCGAAUGGGAUUAGAUACCCCAGUAGUCCUAGCCGUAAACGAUGGAUACUAGGUGUGGCUUGUAACAAAACGAGCCGUGCCGUAGCUAACGCGUUAAGUAUCCCGCCUGGGGAGUACGCUCGCAAGAGUGAAACUCAAAGGGAUUGACGGGGGCCCGCACAAGCGGUGGAGUAUGUGGUUUAAUUCGAUGCAACGCGAAGAACCUUACCAGGACUUGACAUGUUGCGAAUCACCUUGAAAGAGGAGAGUGCCUUCGGGAGCGCAAACACAGGUGGUGCAUGGCUGUCGUCAGCUCGUGUCGUGAGAUGUUGGGUUAAGUCCCGCAACGAGCGCAACCCUCAUGUUUAGUUGCCAAUAUUAAGUUAGGCACUCUAGACAGACUGCCGGUGACAAACCGGAGGAAGGUGGGGAUGACGUCAAGUCAGCAUGCCCCUUACGUCCUGGGCUACACACGUACUACAAUGGUAAGGACAAAGGGAAGCGAAACUGCGAAGUGAAGCAAAUCCCAUCAAACUUUGCCACAGUUCAGAUCGUAGGCUGCAACUCGCCUACGUGAAGGAGGAAUCGCUAGUAAUCGCAGGUCAGCAUACUGCGGUGAAUCCGUUCCCGGGCCUUGUACACACCGCCCGUCACACCAUGGAAGCUGGUCAUGCCCGAAGUCGUUACCCUAACCAUUCGUGGAGGGGGAUGCCUAAGGCGGGGCUGGUGACUGGGGUGAA